GCGGCCGGGGAAAGGCCGGGUCCCGCUCGGACCAUUUUAACUGCGGAUCCGCCGCCGGCGCGCGCACCCGCGACUCUGCUCGGAGCCGCAGGAGCGCGCGGCCCGUUCCGGCAGGGGGCGGAGCCAGUUGCGGUGGCGCGCUCGUGGCGGGGACGCCGGCACCCGGCUGCUCACCCGGGACGGCCGUCACACCGGCACUACGGGAAGAAGCCGGCCGGCUAGGGCACGGAGCUCUGGGCUUGCGGGGUGCGGCGCACGCCCCUCCCUCCCACCGCCUAAGGUUUUUCCGAAGCUGCUGGGCGUGCGCCGCGUUUCUGAGGCGGGAGGAGACACUUCCGAGCCAGCUGUGUGACAUCCGUUUACACAGCCGCGCUGACGUCUCGAGGUGCACAACAAGAUCAAACGCUGACAUCAGGAUAGCAGCGAGAGAGAGGCAUUUAUUUGCACAGUGCCAAGCAAGGAUGAUACGACAGCUAAUGCUUAAAUUCUGACCUCUCCAGUGGCUUGCAGAUUCUUGCAGGUGGCUGGUUCCAGAUGGAGUCCAUGACCAGAAUGAGAACUUCAUGCCUGCUCUUUCCCAAUUGGUUAUUUCUGAAUAAUGCUUUUAAAUCAAUCAAAUGUUGCCUUUUUCAAGGCUACCUACAGCCCACACCUCCCCAGUUCUGAGCCUAUAAAAACCUCACACUCAGCCACAUGGGGAUACUACCUGCCUUUGGGUGGGGACAAUCCACCUUCAGGUUGGGGACUACCCACUUCUGGUCCAUCUCUGCUGAGAGCUAUUCUGUCACUCAAUAAAACUUCUCCACCUUUCUCACUCUCUGGUUGUCUGUGUAACCUCAUUCUCCUUGGAUGUGGGACAAGAACCCAGGA
Molecule: long non-coding RNA, 870 nt
Filed under: Homo sapiens (human)
Lineage: Eukaryota; Metazoa; Chordata; Mammalia; Primates; Hominidae
Description: HSALNT0092622
Source: RNAcentral